This 64-nucleotide transfer RNA is filed under the name Cherax cainii. RNAcentral describes it as "tRNA-His". The record is from RNAcentral. Lineage: Eukaryota; Metazoa; Arthropoda; Malacostraca; Decapoda; Parastacidae.
AUUUAAAUAGUUUAACAAAAAUGCUGGUCUGUGGUGCCAGAGAUAUAAUUAGUUAUUUUAAAUU